RNAcentral lists this long non-coding RNA (3118 nucleotides) under Gossypium barbadense (sea-island cotton). Its description in RNAcentral is "long non-coding RNA (GBAR_LNC014462)". Lineage: Eukaryota; Viridiplantae; Streptophyta; Magnoliopsida; Malvales; Malvaceae. The record is from RNAcentral.
CCUAUGAUGAUGAAAGAAAACUCAUAAUUCCAUUAAACAGCACAGUUCAAGAAAGGCCACCAAUGCCGGUAAUCACCUACUUCAGUUUCAACUUGCCCCUGGAAUUUUAUGUUCAUGGUCUGUAACUUAAUCAUGUUUCUCCUAUAAAUUGGACAAUAGGUCAGAAAUGAACUCAGUGGAAAAAUGCCGAGCAUCAAACCAACUGUAAGGGGCACUUGAAACUAUAAAAAAACCAAUCAUAUUCCAUGACCAGGCAGCCAUAUGACAUUUUUCUUACCUUCCGUUGUACAGGCACUUAGGUUUUAUGGGAGUUUUAACGUGACAGUCACGGGCAUAACAAUUCAAAACAGUCCUCAAUGCCAUCUCAAGUUCGAUAAUUGCAUGGGAGUUGUGGUGCACGAUAUUACCGUCUCAUCUCCUGGGGACAGUCCUAAUACAGAUGGAAUUCACCUACAGAACUCCAAUGAUGUGCUAAUUCAUAGCAGUGAUCUCGCCUGUGGUAAUUAUUUAAAUUAUCUUGCUUGUAAAUAAGUAUUGUUGCCAUACCGCAUUCAGUUAAACAAUGGUCAGCCAUACGCUGAGCUCCAGCAAUGAAUGGAGUAAGACCUGCAGGUCAACAUUUAAGGAUAAAGGGUUAAGAUAAGACCUUGUGAACAUCUGACAGUAUCAUAGAAAAGGUGCUGAAUGAGGUAGUUCUGAUAGGAUACUGAAAGACACGUUUCACAAUCUUAUCCUGCUAAUGCUUUCAUUCCACACAUUCUCCAUCACCCAUAAUAUUUUGACAAGUAGAUGCCUGCAAUAUCCAAACUUCAAGAGUUACAGUCACUGGUCACUUGACAUGUGUCAUAUUCAGAAGAAUGGUGUGGCAUCAACCACCCAAAAUAGGAUUAGAGUUGAACAACACAGAGCAAAGCAUACAAUUUUUGUUUUAUUCACUCAAGUUUUGAUUUGCCUGUCUCCACUUACAGCUCGAACUUUUUGUUUUAAUCCCCUAGCCUCUUGUCCACUUUUUCUUAAAAACAGGCUCAUGUUCUAAUUAAUUAAUAAGAUAAUAAUAGGCCCUCAGGAAUCUAAUGCUUCCGAAAAAUGCUUAAAUUGAAUCAGCUCUAAGCACAGGGAUAAUUGACUAGUACAUAAAGACAUCUAUUUUUGUGUUUAUACUAACCUGAGCUCUUAAAAAUCUAUGAAUUGGUGCAGGAGAUGACUGUGUUUCCAUACAAACAGGAUGCUCAAAUGUAUACAUACACAAUGUGAACUGUGGACCAGGGCAUGGAAUAAGCAUUGGAAGCUUAGGAAGGGAUAAUACUAAAGCCUGUGUCUCAAACAUCACUGUCAGGGAUAUCGUUAUGCAUAACACAAUGAAUGGUGUCAGAAUUAAGACAUGGCAGGUAACUAUACAAACAUUGUCACUCCCCCCCCCCCCCCCAAAUGAUUAAAAACUCAUCAAGUUUAAAACAUAGCAAUUAGCUAAACUGGCUUUUAAUUAAAUACAAAAUGCAUCUAAAACUUCGUAGUUCAACCGUAAUUUAUAACAAGACUAACUUCAGGGAAUAUAUUUCAAGUUGCUUGCAUACUCAAGUUCAUGUGUGGUGAAAAACUAUACAUAUAUGAAAAACUUGUGUUCUUUUUGAAAUAUUACCUACACCUUUAUAUCUUAUUUCUUUUCUUUAAUAGGUCCAAAAAUCUUAUCUAUUACCACUUACUAGUGAUAAAAAAAAAAAGUUAGUGCAAGUUCCUAUCAUUCUAAGUUCUUUUACAACUCUAGGUUGCUAGUCAGUUUUCUUACAUAUAAUCUCAAAUCACUUCUACAGGGUGGAUCGGGAUCUGUUCAGGGGGUUCUGUUCUCAAACAUUCAAGUUUCCGAGGUCCAACUUCCAAUUGUGAUCGAUCAGUUCUACUGCGACAAAAGGAAAUGUUCGAACGAAACAGCUGCAGUCGCUCUAUCAGGAAUCACCUAUGAAAAAAUAAGAGGAACAUACACAGUAAAACCUGUCCACUUCGCCUGCAGCGAUAGCCUUCCAUGUAUAGGUGUAACCUUAUCUGCCAUUGAACUAAAACCAGUCCAGGAACGUUACCACCUCUACGAUCCAUUCUGUUGGCAAACUUUCGGAGAGUUGACCACCCCUACUGUUCCCCCAAUCAGUUGUUUACAGAUUGGGAAGCCAAAAAAUAACAGAGUCCAAUCUGAUCAUGAUGUGUGCUGAGCAUUAGUGUAGGUAAUUCAUGUGGUGCAUUCGCAUCUGUGGUCGGCAGUGAUCUCCUGACCCCUCACACCAUUCGUUUGUUAAGUGUAGAGUGUAUAUUUAUUUAGGCCUCAUCCUAGCUUAUAGGCAUUCUUCUUUGAAUGGGAUCACACCGGUUCCUAGUUUCCACUAUGAGAGAUUAUACAAGCAUGUUAUCAGGUAGAGUCCAAUACUGGAGUACAAGACUGUCUUGUUCAUUAAGGCAGAUUAUUUGAUUGUGAGAUAUUUAUACAAAUGCAUUAUCCACCAGAUGUUCAUCAAUAUAUAUAGACGUAUUGUUCCUUGAAUUUAACCCACUUGAAAGACUGUAUUUCACAAGCAUAAGGUUAAACGAAAUUGAGCAUGCACAAACUGUCCAUGUCUAUCUAAGAAAGCAAACAAGUAAGAUCAGACAUUGACAAAGAACCACCCAAGAAGCAGGUAUUAAGCUCAAAUGACAAUAUUAUGUUCUAAGAAACAGAUUAUAUAUCAAAAGGAACAAGCUAAGACAAAGAAUAAAUAUCAAUAUAAACCGAAGAUAACCAUGAACUGCAAUCGUAGAUGACAUGGUUUGUUUUCUGAAUCUAAUAACUCAUGAAUUAUAUUCACAUUUAAACAAACAAUUCAACUAUAAUUCAAGCCGUUAACCUAAAAAAAUCAAACAAGUAGAGUAAGUAGGGUGCCAACAGAUUGAUCGAUAAGAAGAUCGGGUGUCGUCUCCCACCUUAUAUCUCUCUGGAUUUUCCUUCGAAUCCAUAGAUUCUUCUCCCCGAUUCUGCAAAUAAAAGCAUUAGCAGAGAUCUAACUGAAAAUCACUGUCGUUCUUACAUCAGACCGGUUCAGUAAAAAGUAAACAAUUGCAAGCUUAUCGAAAACUCGAUAACAAAAUAAUUAAG